UGGCCUAUUAGCUCAGUUGGUUAGAGCGUCGUGCUAAUAACACGAAGGUCGCAGGUCCGAGAGCUUUGAAUUUAA
RNAcentral lists this transfer RNA (75 nucleotides) under Ricinus communis (castor bean). Its description in RNAcentral is "tRNA-Ile". Lineage: Eukaryota; Viridiplantae; Streptophyta; Magnoliopsida; Malpighiales; Euphorbiaceae. The record is from RNAcentral.